GGAGUGAAAAAGAACCUGAAACCGUGUACGUACAAGCAGUGGGAGCCUCUUUAUGGGGUGACUGCGUACCUUUUGUAUAAUGGGUCAGCGACUUAUAUUCUGUAGCAAGGUUAACCGAAUAGGGGAGCCGAAGGGAAACCGAGUCUUAACUGGGCGUUAAGUUGCAGGGUAUAGACCCGAAACCCGGUGAUCUAGCCAUGGGCAGGUUGAAGGUUGGGUAACACUAACUGGAGGACCGAACCGACUAAUGUUGAAAAAUUAGCGGAUGACUUGUGGCUGGGGGUGAAAGGCCAAUCAAACCGGGAGAUAGCUGGUUCUCCCCGAAAGCUAUUUAGGUAGCGCCUCGUGAAUUCAUCUCCGGGGGUAGAGCACUGUUUCGGCAAGGGGGUCAUCCCGACUUACCAACCCGAUGCAAACUGCGAAUACCGGAGAAUGUUAUCACGGGAGACACACGGCGGGUGCUAACGUCCGUCGUGAAGAGGGAAACAACCCAGACCGCCAGCUAAGGUCCCAAAGUCAUGGUUAAGUGGGAAACGAUGUGGGAAGGCCCAGACAGCCAGGAUGUUGGCUUAGAAGCAGCCAUCAUUUAAAGAAAGCGUAAUAGCUCACUGGUCGAGUCGGCCUGCGCGGAAGAUGUAACGGGGCUAAACCAUGCACCGAAGCUGCGGCAGCGACGCUUAUGCGUUGUUGGGUAGGGGAGCGUUCUGUAAGCCUGUGAAGGUGUGCUGUGAGGCAUGCUGGAGGUAUCAGAAGUGCGAAUGCUGACAUAAGUAACGAUAAAGCGGGUGAAAAGCCCGCUCGCCGGAAGACCAAGGGUUCCUGUCCAACGUUAAUCGGGGCAGGGUGAGUCGACCCCUAAGGCGAGGCCGAAAGGCGUAGUCGAUGGGAAACAGGUUAAUAUUCCUGUACUUGGUGUUACUGCGAAGGGGGGACGGAGAAGGCUAUGUUGGCCGGGCGACGGUUGUCCCGGUUUAAGCGUGUAGGCUGGUUUUCCAGGCAAAUCCGGAAAAUCAAGGCUGAGGCGUGAUGACGAGGCACUACGGUGCUGAAGCAACAAAUGCCCUGCUUCCAGGAAAAGCCUCUAAGCAUCAGGUAACAUCAAAUCGUACCCCAAACCGACACAGGUGGUCAGGUAGAGAAUACCAAGGCGCUUGAGAGAACUCGGGUGAAGGAACUAGGCAAAAUGGUGCCGUAACUUCGGGAGAAGGCACGCUGAUAUGUAGGUGAAGUCCCUCGCGGAUGGAGCUGAAAUCAGUCGAAGAUACCAGCUGGCUGCAACUGUUUAUUAAAAACACAGCACUGUGCAAACACGAAAGUGGACGUAUACGGUGUGACGCCUGCCCGGUGCCGGAAGGUUAAUUGAUGGGGUCAGCGCAAGCGAAGCUCU
Molecule: ribosomal RNA, 1387 nt
Filed under: Escherichia coli
Lineage: Bacteria; Pseudomonadati; Pseudomonadota; Gammaproteobacteria; Enterobacterales; Enterobacteriaceae
Description: partial 23S ribosomal RNA
Rfam family: Bacterial large subunit ribosomal RNA
Source: RNAcentral